AACGUAGGACGCAAGCGUUAUCCGGAGUUACUGGGCGUAAAGCGCGGGCAGGCGGCCUGGGAAGUCUGAUGUGAAAGCGCACGGCUCAACCGAGCGAGGCCAUUGGAAACUUUCAGGCUGGAGGGCAGUAGAGGUAGGCGGAAUUCCGGGUGGAGUGGUGAAAUGCGUAGAGAUCCGGAGGAACACCAGAGGCGAAGGCGGCCUACUGGGCUGCACCUGACGCUGAGCCGCGAAAGCCAGGGGAGCGAACGGG
This 253-nucleotide non-coding RNA is filed under the name uncultured prokaryote. RNAcentral describes it as "partial 16S ribosomal RNA". It matches the Rfam family "Bacterial small subunit ribosomal RNA", at positions 524 to 776 of the family's 1533-position model. The record is from RNAcentral. RNAcentral also lists the same sequence under 1 other name.